This 84-nucleotide transfer RNA is filed under the name Pythium insidiosum. Its description in RNAcentral is "tRNA-Leu". It matches the Rfam family "tRNA". From Rfam's summary of the family: Transfer RNA (tRNA) molecules are approximately 80 nucleotides in length. Their secondary structure includes four short double-helical elements and three loops (D, anti-codon, and T loops). Further hydrogen bonds mediate the characteristic L-shaped molecular structure. tRNAs have two regions of fundamental functional importance: the anti-codon, which is responsible for specific mRNA codon recognition, and the 3' end, to which the tRNAs corresponding amino acid is attached (by aminoacyl-tRNA synthetases). tRNAs cope with the degeneracy of the genetic code in two manners: having more than one tRNA (with a specific anti-codon) for a particular amino acid; and 'wobble' base-pairing, i.e. permitting non-standard base-pairing at the 3rd anti-codon position. Lineage: Eukaryota; Oomycota; Peronosporomycetes; Pythiales; Pythiaceae. The record is from RNAcentral.
GUCAGUUUGCCCCGAGUGGUCUAAGGGGUUACGUUCAGGUCGUAAUGUAUUCGUACUCCGUGGGUUCAAAUCCCACAGCUGACA